RNAcentral lists this ribosomal RNA (163 nucleotides) under Viola yunnanfuensis. RNAcentral describes it as "5.8S ribosomal RNA". It matches the Rfam family "5.8S ribosomal RNA". Rfam says of the family: 5.8S ribosomal RNA (5.8S rRNA) is a component of the large subunit of the eukaryotic ribosome. It is transcribed by RNA polymerase I as part of the 45S precursor that also contains 18S and 28S rRNA. The record is from RNAcentral. Lineage: Eukaryota; Viridiplantae; Streptophyta; Magnoliopsida; Malpighiales; Violaceae.
AAACGACUCUCGGCAACGGAUAUCUCGGCUCUCGCAUCGAUGAAAAACGUAGCGAAAUGCGAUACUUGGUGUGAAUUGCAAAAUCCCGUGAAUCAUCGAGUCUUUGAACGCAAGUUGCGCCCGAAGCCUUUUGGCCGAGGGCACGUCUGCCUGGGUGUCACGC